Molecule: ribosomal RNA, 253 nt
Filed under: uncultured bacterium
Lineage: Bacteria
Description: partial 16S ribosomal RNA
Rfam family: Bacterial small subunit ribosomal RNA
Source: RNAcentral
GACGUAGGGCGCGAGCGUUGUCCGGAUUUAUUGGGCGUAAAGGGCGCGUAGGCGGCUUGAUGUGUCAAAGGUGAAAUCCCUCGGCUCAACUGAGGAACUGCCUUUGAAACUGUCUGGCUUGAGGCCGGGAGAGGGUAGCGGAAUUCCCAGUGUAGCGGUGAAAUGCGUAGAUACUGGGAGGAACACCGGUGGCGAAGGCGGCUACCUGGACCGGUUCUGACGCUGAUGCGCGAAAGCGUGGGUAGCAAACAGG